RNAcentral lists this ribosomal RNA (464 nucleotides) under uncultured bacterium. RNAcentral's name for it is "partial 16S ribosomal RNA". It matches the Rfam family "Bacterial small subunit ribosomal RNA", at positions 355 to 814 of the family's 1533-position model. The record is from RNAcentral.
UGGGGAAUAUUGCACAAUGGGCGCAAGCCUGAUGCAGCCAUGCCGCGUGUGUGAAGAAGGCCUCGGGUUGUAAAGCACUUUCAGCGAGGAGGAAGGUGGUGAGCUUAAUACGCUCAUCAAUUGACGUUACUCGCAGAAGAAGCACCGGCUAACUCCGUGCCAGCAGCCGCGGUAAUACGGAGGGUGCAAGCGUAAUCGGAAUUACUGGGCGUAGAGCGCACGCAGGCGGUUUGUUAAGUCAGAUGUGAAAUCCCCGGGCUCAACCUGGGAACUGCAUUUGAAACUGGCAAGCAGAGUCUCGUAGAGGGGGGUAGAAUUCCAGGUGUAGCGGUGAAAUGCGUAGAGAUCUGGAGGAAUACCGGUGGCGAAGGCGGCCCCCCUGGACGAAGACUGACNCUCGGUGCGAAAGCGUGGGGCAGCAAACAGAUUAGAUACCCUGGUAGUCCACGCUGUAAACGAUUCGA